Molecule: long non-coding RNA, 1012 nt
Organism: Carassius carassius (crucian carp)
Lineage: Eukaryota; Metazoa; Chordata; Actinopteri; Cypriniformes; Cyprinidae
Exons: 3
Source: RefSeq, a predicted model, not a curated record
UUCAAAAUAUAAAGUUAUCGUUUAUUGUUUACCCGGUUGUAUGAAAGGCGGAAACAAAGGAGCUUAACGUUAUAUUAAAAAAAAAAAAAAAAAAUGGACGCAGUUUUCGCCUCAGACACGGAGGUCUUAACGGCAUCAUUUAACGUUAUUGAAUGGAAGAGAUAAUUUUAAUAUAACGUCCAUGAAUGUAUUUUGUCAUAUUUACAUAAGACUUUACAUUAUCUGUACUUUUUGAGACGUUAAUAGACGGUUAUGGUCACGGUUACACGCAUGUUAAUUUGUCUUUUUUUUUCGCGGUUAAACUGAAUGUAUGUUUGUCUCCUAAAGGAAACGGCAUUGUGUAGUAAAGACUAGCAUAAUUAUUUUGAGGCUGUUGAAGUGGUAACUGUUAAAAGUAUGUUUUACAUGUAAUAUUUCAGACUGGUCCAACUCGUGUCUUCAUUGUCCUCGCGCCGAGAGUUAAAGACACAGAAGCUGUUUGUGUGAGAGUCUCAGACUGUGAGGAGGAGGAUGUGUUCUUCUGAAGAGAGGGACAGACGGGUUUAAGGAGGGUAAACUUCAGAAUAACAUUGUUAUCUUUAUUUUUACUAAGACUAAAAUAAUGUUUGUUUUUGUAGAUGUUGAAAUCCAGAGACAAGAUAACUUCAUUCUUUUGAGACUGAUAACUCAAACUAACUGGAGUUAAGGGGACAGAAGUCUGCUUGUGUGAGGAGGAGGUUUUCUCAGCUUCUUCUGAAGAGAGGGAAAGAUAGUUUAAGGCAAGUAAACUUCAUAAUUUCAUGUUAUCAGUUGUUUUUUUUUUUUUUUACUAAGUAAAAUAAUGUUUGUUUUUUUGUUUUUGUAGAUGUUAAAAGCCAGAGACAUGGGAGAGCAUCAUUCUUUUGAGAUUUUAUAACUCAAACCAACUUUGGAGUUGUCUGAUUUGGAGAGUCAUCAUUCUUGGUCUUCCUUCUUAAAGGUAAAGUUCACACAAAAAAUAAUUUAAUUGCCCUCAUGUCAUUCCAAACCUAUA